RNAcentral lists this ribosomal RNA (138 nucleotides) under uncultured bacterium. Its description in RNAcentral is "partial 16S ribosomal RNA". It matches the Rfam family "Bacterial small subunit ribosomal RNA", at positions 355 to 507 of the family's 1533-position model. The record is from RNAcentral.
UCGAGAAUCUUCCGCAAUGGGCGAAAGCCUGACGGAGCGACGUUACGUGAAUGAUGAAGCCCCUCGGGGUGUAAAGUUCUUUUAUGUGGGAGGAAGUUAUUGACAGUACCACAUGAAUAAGAGGAUCCUAAUUCUGUG